UACCGGAUAGGACGAAAGUUUUAAAAGGUGCUUCUGGCACCGCUGAUGGAUGAGCCUGCGGCGCAUUAGCUAGUUGGUAGGGUAAAGGCCUACCAAGGCGACGAUGCGUAGCCGACCUGAGAGGGUGAACGGCCACACUGGGACUGAGACACGGCCCAGACUCCUACGGGAGGCAGCAGUAGGGAAUCUUCGGCAAUGGGCGAAAGCCUGACCGAGCAACGCCGCGUGAAUGAUGAAGGCCUUCGGGUUGUAAAAUUCUGUUAUAAGGGAAGAACGACUUUAGUAGGAAAUGGCUAGAGUGUGACGGUACCUUAUGAGAAUGCCACGGCUAACUACGUG
This 339-nucleotide ribosomal RNA is filed under the name uncultured bacterium. RNAcentral describes it as "bacterial SSU rRNA". It matches the Rfam family "Bacterial small subunit ribosomal RNA", at positions 167 to 507 of the family's 1533-position model. The record is from RNAcentral.